GGGGGUGUGGCUCAGUAGUAGGGCACUUGGCUUGCAUGCAUGAUGCUGUGGGUUUAAUCCCAGCAUUGCCC
RNAcentral lists this transfer RNA (71 nucleotides) under Ictidomys tridecemlineatus (thirteen-lined ground squirrel). Its description in RNAcentral is "Spermophilus tridecemlineatus (thirteen-lined ground squirrel) tRNA". It matches the Rfam family "tRNA". Rfam says of the family: Transfer RNA (tRNA) molecules are approximately 80 nucleotides in length. Their secondary structure includes four short double-helical elements and three loops (D, anti-codon, and T loops). The record is from Rfam by way of RNAcentral. Lineage: Eukaryota; Metazoa; Chordata; Mammalia; Rodentia; Sciuridae.